UACGUAGGGUGCGAGCGUUGUCCGGAAUUACUGGGCGUAAAGAGCUCGUAGGUGGUUUGUCGCGUUGUUCGUGAAAUCUCACGGCUUAACUGUGAGCGUGCGGGCGAUACGGGCAGACUGGAGUACUGCAGGGGAGACUGGAAUUCCUGGUGUAGCGGUGAAAUGCGCAGAUAUCAGGAGGAACACCGGUGGCGAAGGCGGGUCUCUGGGCCGAUACUGACGCUGAGGAGCGAAAGCGUGGGGAGCGAACAGG
This 253-nucleotide ribosomal RNA is filed under the name uncultured bacterium. Its description in RNAcentral is "partial 16S ribosomal RNA". It matches the Rfam family "Bacterial small subunit ribosomal RNA", at positions 524 to 776 of the family's 1533-position model. The record is from RNAcentral.